GUAGGUGGCAAGCGUUGUCCGGAAUUAUUGGGCGUAAAGCGCGCGCAGGCGGGUCCUUUAAGUCUGAUGUGAAAGCCCACGGGCCCAACCGUGGAGGGUCAUUGGAAACUGGGGGACUUGAGUACAGAAGAGGAAAGCGGAAUUCCAAGUGUAGCGGUGAAAUGCGUAGAGAUUUGGAGGAACACCAGUGGCGAAGGCGGCUUUCUGGUCUGUAACUGACGCUGAGGCGCGAAAGCGUGGGGAGCAAACAGGAUUAGAUACCCUGGUAGUCCACGCCGUAAACGAUGAGUGCUAAGUGUUAGGGGGUUUCCGCCCCUUAGUGCUGCAGCUAACGCAUUAAGCACUCCGCCUGGGGAGUACGGCCGCAAAGGCUGA
This 375-nucleotide ribosomal RNA is filed under the name uncultured organism. Its description in RNAcentral is "partial 16S ribosomal RNA". It matches the Rfam family "Bacterial small subunit ribosomal RNA", at positions 527 to 897 of the family's 1533-position model. The record is from RNAcentral.